RNAcentral lists this ribosomal RNA (479 nucleotides) under uncultured bacterium. RNAcentral's name for it is "partial 16S ribosomal RNA". It matches the Rfam family "Bacterial small subunit ribosomal RNA", at positions 28 to 507 of the family's 1533-position model. The record is from RNAcentral.
GAUGAACGCUAGCGGCAGGCCUAACACAUGCAAGUCGAGGGGUAGAAGGAGCUUGCUCCUUUGAGACCGGCGCACGGGUGCGUAACGCGUAUGCAAUCUACCUUGUACAGGGGAAUAGCCCAGAGAAAUUUGGAUUAAUGCCCCAUAGUAUAUAACCUUCGCAUGUUGGUUAUAUUAAAGUUCCAACGGUCAAGAUGAGCAUGCGUCCCAUUAGUUAGUUGGUAAGGUAACGGCUUACCAAGACGAUGAUGGGUAGGGGUCCUGAGAGGGAGAUCCCCCACACUGGUACUGAGACACGGACCAGACUCCUACGGGAGGCAGCAGUGAGGAAUAUUGGUCAAUGGUCGCAAGACUGAACCAGCCAUGCCGCGUGCAGGAAGACGGUCCUAUGGAUUGUAAACUGCUUUUAUACAGGAAGAAACCCUCCCACGUGUGGGAGCUUGACGGUACUGUAGGAAUAAGGAUCGGCUAACUCCGUG